GGUGGUGAUGGCGCCAACCCAGGCAACAACAAGUGGGAGCAGAAGCAGGUGCAGAUCAAGAACCUGGAGGGCAAGUUUUUGGUCACCAUGUAGUCCUCAGAGAAAAAAAAAAAAAAGAUAUUGACUUUGAUACCUCAACAGUGGUUGAAGAACUGGCCAUUGAAGAGAACCUGCCUCCUGAUUUUCAAAGUAUAUGACAGGAAAGAAACUUCCUCCUGGAGGAAUACCUGGCAGUAACCUCUCAAAUCCUAAACAAUCGGCAUAACUUGCUGGAAUGAAGCCAAGAAAAAUUAAAUAAGAUGAUGCCCCAAGAACAACAGCUUGCCUCAUAAAGGGAGCACGAAGAUGUUCUUGGAUAACUCUGCCAUGAGAAAACAUCUGCACAGCCACAGUCCCAGAGUCCUCGUCUGUGAAGAACACGGCAAAGCUCUUGUUGAGAGCUCAAGACCAGAACAACACCAACCAGUCUGUGCUGGAGAGAAGCUCUUUCAUGGCACAUGGUGGGUCUGUGGGAAAUGCUUUUUAUUGGACUUCAAUUUGUGCACGUGUGUGUGAAUCCAUACCAGAGACAGGACCCAUGUGUGCCCCUUCCGUGGUUGUAAUAAAAGCUCAGACAACUAACCUGAAAUCUUACAUCUUAACACACACCAAGGACAAAAACAAUCAGU
RNAcentral lists this long non-coding RNA (668 nucleotides) under Homo sapiens (human). RNAcentral's name for it is "non-protein coding lnc-NODAL-1:1". The record is from RNAcentral. Lineage: Eukaryota; Metazoa; Chordata; Mammalia; Primates; Hominidae.